RNAcentral lists this ribosomal RNA (147 nucleotides) under Stramenopiles sp. RNAcentral describes it as "partial small subunit ribosomal RNA". It matches the Rfam family "Eukaryotic small subunit ribosomal RNA", at positions 1294 to 1460 of the family's 1831-position model. The record is from RNAcentral.
UUAGUUGGUGGAGUGAUUUGUCUGGUUAAUUCCGUUAACGAACGAGACCUCCGCCUGCUAAAUAGUUCAGUGUAAUAUUUUGUUACAUGUGGACUUCUUAGAGGGACUUUUGGCGAUUAGCCAAAGGAAGUUGGAGGCAAUAACAGG